This 468-nucleotide ribosomal RNA is filed under the name uncultured bacterium. RNAcentral's name for it is "partial 16S ribosomal RNA". It matches the Rfam family "Bacterial small subunit ribosomal RNA", at positions 28 to 507 of the family's 1533-position model. The record is from RNAcentral.
GACGAACGCUGGCGGCGUGCUUAACACAUGCAAGUCGAACGGAAAGGCCCUGCUUUUGUGGGGCGCUCGUGUGGCGAACGGGUGAGAAACACGUGUGUAACCUCCCCCUGACUUUGGGAUAACUUCAGGAAACUGGGGCUAAUACCGGAUAGGAGCUCCUGAUGCAUGGGGUGGGUUGGAAAGUUUCGGCGGUUGGGGAUGGACUCGCUGCUUAUCGGCUGGUUGGUGGGGUAGUGGCUUACCAGGGCUUUGACGGGUAGCCGGCCUGGGAGGGUGACCGGCCACAUGGGGACUGAGAUACGGCCCAGACUCGUACGGGAGGCAGCGGGGGGGAAUAUUGCACAAUGGCGGGACGCCUGAUGCGGCAACGCCGCGUGCGGAAUAACGGCUUUCGGGUUGUAAACCGCUUUGGCCUGUGACGAAGCGUGAGUGACGGUAAUGGGUAAAGAAGCACCGGCUAACUACGUG